GAUGAACGCUGGCGGCGUGCCUAAUACAUGCAAGUCGAGCGAACAGACGAGGAGCUUGCUCCUCUGACGUUAGCGGCGGACGGGUGAGUAACACGUGGAUAACCUACCUAUAAGACUGGGAUAACUUCGGGAAACCGGCGCUAAUACCGGAUAAUAUAUUGAACCGCAUGGUUCAAUGGUGAAAGACGGUUUUGCUGUCACUUCUAGAUGGAUCCGCGCCGCAUUAGCUAGUUGGUAAGGUAACGGCUUACCAAGGCAACGAUGCGUAGCCGACCUGAGAGGGUGAUCGGCCACACUGGAACUGAGACACGGGCAAGACUCCUACGGGAGGCAGCAGUAGGGAAUCUGCCGCAAUGGGCGAAAGCCUGACGGAGCAACGCCGCGUGAGUGAUGAAGGUCUUCGGAUCGUAAAACUCUGUUAUUAGGGAAGAACAAAUGUGUAAGUAACUAUGCACGUCUUGACGGUACCUAAUCAGAAAGCCACGGCUAACUACGUG
RNAcentral lists this ribosomal RNA (497 nucleotides) under uncultured bacterium. Its description in RNAcentral is "partial 16S ribosomal RNA". It matches the Rfam family "Bacterial small subunit ribosomal RNA", at positions 28 to 507 of the family's 1533-position model. The record is from RNAcentral.